AUUUGAAACUGGCAAGCUUGAGUCUUGUAGAGGGGGGUAGAAUUCCAGGUGUAGCGGUGAAAUGCGUAGAGAUCUGGAGGAAUACCGGUGGCGAAGGCGGCCCCCUGGACAAAGACUGACGCUCAGGUGCGAAAGCGUGGGGAGCAAACAGGAUUAGAUACCCUGGUAGUCCACGCUGUAACGAUGUCGACUUGGAGGUUGUUCCCUUGAGGAGUGGCUUCCGGAGCUAACGCGUUAAGUCGACCGCCUGGGGAGUACGGCCGCAAGGUUAAAACUCAAAUGAAUUGACGGGGGCCCGCACAAGCGGUGGAGCAUGUGGUUUAAUUCGAUGCAACGCGAAGAACCUUACCUACUCUUGACAUCCAGAGAACUUAGCAGAGA
This 381-nucleotide ribosomal RNA is filed under the name Klebsiella sp. Its description in RNAcentral is "bacterial SSU rRNA". It matches the Rfam family "Bacterial small subunit ribosomal RNA", at positions 625 to 1006 of the family's 1533-position model. The record is from RNAcentral. Lineage: Bacteria; Pseudomonadati; Pseudomonadota; Gammaproteobacteria; Enterobacterales; Enterobacteriaceae.